AAAUAGAUUAAAAUAAUUAAGGGCACACAAAGGAUGCCUUGGUAGUAAGAGCCGAUGAAGGACGUGGUAAGCUGCGAUAAGCCUAGAUAAGUUGCAAUCGAACGUAAGAGUCUAGGAUUUCCGAAUGGAGCAAUCUAUUAAGAUGGAGUCUUAAUACGAAAGAGGGAACCGCGUGAACUGAAACAUCUAAGUAACGCGAGGAAAAGAAAGUAAAAACGAUACCCAAAGUAGCGGCGAGCGAAAUGGGUCAAGCCUAAACCUUAAAUAUGUCAAGGAUACAGCCGUUGUAUUUAAGGGGUUGAGGGACAGAGUGAUGAAGAACUGUAAGAUAUUCAAUAUAGUGUAUUGAUGAACUAGAAUAGUCUGGAAAGGUUAACCGUAGAAGGUGAAAGUCCUGUAUAGGUAAAUCCUUACACAUAUAACUUUGAUCCCAAGUAACAUGGAACACGAGGAAUUCUGUGUGAAUCAGUGAGGACCAUAUCUCAUAAGGCUAAAUACUCUUACUAACCGAUAGCGCAUAGUACCGUGAGGGAAAGGUGAAAAGAACCCCUGGAGGGGAGUGAAAUAGAACCUGAAAUUGUGUGGUUACAAGCGGUCAGAGCCAGUAAUGGUGAUGGCGUGCCUUUUGGAGAAUGAUCCUGCGAGUUACGUUAAACGGCGAGGUUAAGUAUUACGGAGCCGAAGGGAAACCAAGUCUUAAUAGGGCGAUUUAGUCGUUUGGCGUAGACGCGAAACCUGGUGAUCUAAACCUGUCCAGGAUGAAGCUGUGGUAAGACACAGUGGAGGUCCUAACCCACCGCCGUUGAAAAGUUGGGGGAUGAGGUAGGUUUAGGGGUGAAAAGCCAAUCGAACCAGGAGAUAGCUCGUUCUCUCCGAAAUGCAUCUAGGUGCAGCCUUGAGUGUUCAAUUAUGGGGGUAGAGCACUGAAUGAUCUAGGGGGCAUAUUGCUUACUGAAAUCAAUCAAACUCCGAAUACCAUAAUUUAUAGCUCAGGAGUGAGACUAUGGGAGUUAACUUCCAUUGUCAAAAGGGAAACAACCCAGACCACCAGCUAAGGUCCCUAAUUAUAACUAAGUGGGAAAGGAGGUGGAGAUUCACAAACAACUAGGAGGUUGGCUUAGAAGCAGCCAUACCUUUAAAGAGUGCGUAAUAGCUCACUAGUCGAGAGUCUCUGCGCCGAUAAUGUAACGGGGCUAAGUUAUAAACCGAAGCUGUGGAAUCCGUAAGGAUUGGUAGGAGAGCGUUCUGUAGGCCGUUGAAGGAGAAGGGUAACCGACUUUGGAGGUAUCAGAAGUGAGAAUGCAGGAAUAAGUAGCGAGAAAGGGGGCGAGCAUCCCCCUCGCCGGAAGACCAAGGUUUUCAGGGUAAAGCUUGUCUUCCCUGAGUAAGCCGGGACCUAAGCCCAGGCUAUAAUGCGUAGGCGAAUGGAAAACAGAUUAAUAUUUCUGUGCCAGUCAUAUAUUGUGAUGGAGGGACGCAGAAGGGUAUGCGCGCGGACGAACGGAAGUGUCCGUAGAAGUAUGUAGGAUGACUUAGUAGGAAAAUCCAUUAAGUUAUAUCUGAGGUAUGAUAUAUAGUCGUAAGAUGAAUGCGCAAAUCCCAUGCUGCCAAGAAAAGCUUCUAACGUUAAUUUAUGACUGCCCGUACUGCAAACCGACACAGGUGGUCAGGAUGAGAAAUCUAAGGCGGACAGGCUAACUCUCGUUAAGGAACUCUGCAAAAUAACCUCGUAACUUCGGGAGAAGAGGAGCCCUUGGGUGUUAGUAUCCACGCGAUACAAAGCGCUCGAGGGUCGCAGUGAAGAGGCUCAAGCAACUGUUUAACAAAAACACAGGUCUAUGCUAAGCUGGAAGGCGAUGUAUAUGGGCUGACACCUGCCCAGUGCUGGAAGGUUAAGAGGAGGAGUGAGAGCUCCGAAUUGAAGCCCCAGUGAACGGCGGCCGUAACUAUAACGGUCCUAAGGUAGCGAAAUUCCUUGUCGGGUAAGUUCCGACCUGCACGAAUGGUGUAAUGAUUUGAGCGCUGUCUUGACGGGAGGCCUGGUGAAAUUGUAUUACCGGUGAAGAUACCGGUUACCUACAGUAGGACGGAAAGACCCCAUGGAGCUUUACUGUAGCUUGGUAUUGGGUUUUGGCAUUGCAUGUAUAGGAUAGUUGGGAGACUGAGAUGAUAUGGCGCUAGCUGUAUCGGAGUCAUCGGUGGAAUACCAACCAUUCAAUGCUGAAAUUCUAAUCUGUGGUUUGUAGCCACGGAGACAGUGCUAGGUGGGCAGUUUGACUGGGGCGGUCGCCUCCGAAAGAGUAACGGAGGCGUUCAAAGGUUCUCUCAGGUUGGAUGGAAAUCAACCAUAGAGUGCAAUGGCAUAAGAGAGCUUGACUGCAAGACUGACGGGUCGAGCAGAUGCGAAAGCAGGACAUAGUGAUCCGGCGAUUCCGAAUGGAAGGGUCGUCGCUCAACGGAUAAAAGCUACCCUGGGGAUAACAGGCUGAUCCUACCCGAGAGUCCAUAUCGACGGUAGGGUUUGGCACCUCGAUGUCGGCUCAUCGCAUCCUGGGGCUGGAGAAGGUCCCAAGGGUUGGGCUGUUCGCCCAUUAAAGCGGUACGUGAGCUGGGUUCAGAACGUCGUGAGACAGUUCGGUCCCUAUCCACUGUAGGCGUUAGAAUAUUGAGAAGACCUGUCCUUAGUACGAGAGGACCGGGAUGGACAAACCUCUGAUGUACCAGUUGUCACGCCAGUGGCACAGCUGGGUAGUCACGUUUGGAAUAGAUAACCGCUGAAAGCAUCUAAGCGGGAAACUAACUUCAAGAUAAGUAUUCUUUAAGAUACCUUCGAGCCUAGGAGGUUGAUAGGUUGGGGGUGUAAGUACAGCAAUGUAUUUAGCUGACCAAUACUAAUUAUCGAAGUUUUAAUCUAAUUUGUUUUUACUAUAUAGUUUC
RNAcentral lists this ribosomal RNA (2937 nucleotides) under Fusobacterium hwasookii ChDC F300. Its description in RNAcentral is "bacterial LSU rRNA". It matches the Rfam family "Bacterial large subunit ribosomal RNA". The record is from RNAcentral. Lineage: Bacteria; Fusobacteriati; Fusobacteriota; Fusobacteriia; Fusobacteriales; Fusobacteriaceae.